This 253-nucleotide ribosomal RNA is filed under the name uncultured bacterium. RNAcentral's name for it is "partial 16S ribosomal RNA". It matches the Rfam family "Bacterial small subunit ribosomal RNA", at positions 524 to 776 of the family's 1533-position model. The record is from RNAcentral.
UACAGAGGGUGCAAGCGUUAAUCGGAAUUACUGGGCGUAAAGCGUGCGCAGGCGGUUUUGUAAGCCAGAUGUGAAAUCCCCGGGCUCAACCUGGGAAUGGCAUUUGGGACUGCAAGGCUGGAGUGCGGCAGAGGAGACUGGAAUUCCUGGUGUAGCAGUGAAAUGCGUAGAUAUCAGGAGGAAUACCGAUGGCGAAGGCAGGUCUCUGGGCUGACACUGACGCUCAUGCACGAAAGCGUGGGGAGCAAACAGG